GAUUCAGUGGCCUAAGUGGUUAGAGCGUCUACCUAGGACGCGGAAGGUUUCGGGUUUGAACCACGACCGAGUAUUACCA
Molecule: non-coding RNA, 79 nt
Organism: Potamilus streckersoni
Lineage: Eukaryota; Metazoa; Mollusca; Bivalvia; Unionida; Unionidae
Source: the annotation of a GenBank genome assembly